UCGACACUUGGCAUCUCUCGCAGCAAAAGGUAAAGCCUCGUUCGCGCUAUGCUGAGGAACACCGGUCUCAUCAUGUCAUCAUCGAGAUCUGGAUAGUUUGCAGAUAUGACACCCAACUCGGUCACCACUCAGCCAGCACGUGACCUAAUCUCAGUGUGGGUCGUAGGGUUUGAGUCUUGAGUAUCUACGGUCGAGUGCUGGCGCUUGGUCUUUUUUUCUUCCUCUCGCGCAGCGCUAUACCGCUCCGCCUCCUCAACGCGCAACUUUGACGCUGUGCAUAAAUACUGGAACAAAAGAACUUCCUCGAUACCUUGUGAAACGUUACUAGUAAAUAAGGUGAAACUGUUGUGCGAACUGAAAUUAACCCGAUAACGUGCUAGGCUAUAUACUUUUUUAACAUCCCACUAGAGUCAAGUGAUGUCUUCAUACACAUGCUCAUUUUCCCCAGGAUGGAGUCCUGGAAUACCUCAAGCCCUGCUGAGAGAGAGAGAGGGAGGAGAGGAGUCACUCGCUCUGAUUCUGGCAGUGCUUGGUCAUGUUGCCGAGGGUGUGUGAGCGUGAUUGUGAGAGAGAGGAACCCUCUCUAGGUGAUGGUGUAGCAGCACAGAAUGGUUUGUGGUGAUACAGAGAUACAGGCCGUGAUGUGCUGCAGCAUCAAUUCCUGGGACCUACGCAGCCGAUGGAGAGAUUGCAAGUGUGUGAAUGCGUGUGCGUGUGUUGUCUUGCUUUAGCAGCAUGUAAAUAUUGGAGUUACUCCUUGGCCAAUGCCUCCAAUAUUGCUCGUGCUGCUGAAGCAAGAAGCCACCAAGCAGCGUAUGCACGUCAUCUUUUUAUCACAUCUACCGGGGCCUAGCCGGUGCAGGUAUGGCUGUCUCGCAGGUACAGAAAUAGGUACCUUCAUGGACUGAAUCAUUAAUCCGACUUAGAGAAGUCAGGAUGAUACUUGGCUUCACCGGACUGAACUGAAUGGUCAAAGGUAAAGACAGAUGCAGAGUUUAGUUUUCUUUGGAAAGUGAGUUAAGUAGUGUUUUUUUUUUUUUUUUUUUUUUUUUCCCAAUGUUGCUUUUUUCUCCUUUAUAUUGUUCAUACAAAAACUUUUUUUAAUGUUUACAUUUUGUUUUCCUUUAUGUAAAAUAUGUAUCCUUUUUUGUUUCUUCAUUAAAUAUUCCAAUUUUAUUUUCCUAAACGUGGUUGCAUUUUUUUUUUGUGUGUUACUGCAAACAUUAACAUUUUAAAAAGGGGGAAAAAAAAACCUGUGAAUACUAGUUUUGACUAGUUAGGGCACCGUUUGUCAAUGUAUCUGUUCAGGUUUUGUUUUUAACAAUUUUGCAUAGGGAACAACUGUUAAAUGAGAUUUUUCUUUCUUUCUUUUUUUUUUUUUUUUUGGUCGCUUCAAAACUGUUGUAAACAUGUGUUUUGUUUAUGGUGGAUGAACCCUAGCGUGACGUGUAUUCAUGUUUCUUUUAAAGUAUUCAUUUCCGGUAACUACAUUAAGCUAACAAAAUUGAAUCCAAUAGCCAAUAGUUUUUUUCCGAUAAUAACCAAUAAGCAAGUUUUUUUGUGUGUGGAUUAUUCUGAUAGUUGCGAUGUGCGAGUCUGCGAGAUAUUAACAUGGAGGCAAAUGUCUAGUUUCGUGCUGGAGAGUUUACGCAUGCGUAGCCCAUCAUUCUUAUAUAACAUUGAUAUUAAAAGCUUAAAGCCGAACGGAAUUUUGUUGUGGGCAAGUCAUAUUUCAGUUUUGAAAAUGACGUGCGUAUUUCGUGAUGUUAACAGGCUACAGGUCGUUGAUGUAACCAUACGUGACUGUGCCUAUGGGCUAUAAAAUAAUACAAAAUGUUUGUGAUUUUUGUCAAAUAUAUAAAGGCCUGUCACAAUGAAAGAAAUAAGAAUGUGAAAAGCAUUAUCUCGCAAAGUAAGUCUCAAAAUGCCAUGUCAAUAAUCUCCGUCAUUUUAUGAAAUGAAAUAUAGCCUAUAGGCCUAGGCCUAUAUAUAUAUAUAUAUAUAUAUAUAUAUAUAUAUAUAUUACAAAAAAAGCAGGCUAAAUUAUGUAACCACGAUUUCAUCUUUUACCUGCCAUAUCUUUGUAUUUUGGUUGAUGAUCAUUUAUUUACUAAUUAUUUUGCCUGGGUGAAAGUAGGCUAUACCUUUUGGGAGAUUUAUAAGGGAUCCUUUUACGCAGCAAUGCGUCUUUUUUGAUGUCAGAAUGCUGCGUUUUCCUCUGAUUUUAUCACAUCUUGUAUCCUUGACAAUAAAGAAAUUACGUUUUAUUUUA
Pimephales promelas (fathead minnow) is the source of this 2272-nucleotide non-coding RNA. The record is from RefSeq and is a predicted model, not a curated record. Lineage: Eukaryota; Metazoa; Chordata; Actinopteri; Cypriniformes; Leuciscidae.